Molecule: ribosomal RNA, 496 nt
Filed under: uncultured bacterium
Lineage: Bacteria
Description: partial 16S ribosomal RNA
Rfam family: Bacterial small subunit ribosomal RNA
Source: RNAcentral
GAUGAACGCUGGCGGCGUGCCUAAUACAUGCAAGUCGAGCGAACAGACGAGGAGCUUGCUCCUCUGACGUUAGCGGCGGACGGGUGAGUAACACGUGGAUAACCUACCUAUAAGACUGGGAUAACUUCGGGAAACCGGAGCUAAUACCGGAUAAUAUAUUGAACCGCAUGGUUCAAUAGUGAAAGACGGUUUUGCUGUCACUUAUAGAUGGAUCCGCGCCGCAUUAGCUAGUUGGUAAGGUAACGGCUUACCAAGGCAACGAUGCGUAGCCGACCUGAGAGGGGGAUCGGCCACACUGGAACUGAGACACGGUCCAGACCCCCACGGGAGGCAGAAGUAGGGAAUCUUCCGCAAUGGGCGAAAGCCUGAGGGAGCAACGCCGCGUGAGUGAGGAAGGUUUUCGGAUCGUAAAACUCUUUUAUUAGGGAAGAAAAAAUUGGUAAGUAACUAUGCACGUUUGGAGGGUACCUAAUCAGAAAGCCACGGCUAACUACGG